CGGUAUCCUGAUGUCCUUUCUUUUCGAUCGAUUUAUCCUUUAACCCAGUAACUGGUUGUGGAUAAUCUUUCAUGCGAGUAUGUUAUCUACGUUCUGACGGUAAUAGAUAAUGUAUCUCAUGCACUCUUUGGUUGAAGCCUUUGGUUGUUUCCCCAACUGAGCAAGAUUCAUAUUUUCCUUUGUGAAAAAUCGAAUAUCCAUCCAGUGAAUUGAGUUUGCUUUU
This 223-nucleotide long non-coding RNA is filed under the name Lathyrus oleraceus (garden pea). RNAcentral describes it as "Pisum sativum (pea) long non-coding RNA (PSAT_LNC002379)". Lineage: Eukaryota; Viridiplantae; Streptophyta; Magnoliopsida; Fabales; Fabaceae. The record is from RNAcentral.